AACUAUUACAUCUCUUUAAUAUUACAUGUCCACUCUAAGCUAUUACAGAUCUCUUUACUCUUCCUGUACUCUGCUGGACUGUCCCUGUACACUGUACACUGAACCUGCAAAACUGGGGUUAAGGGAGUGGGAUGAGCUCUAUAGCCCAGUGAGUAGAACAGUAAAACAUCUCAGUAAAAUAUGAUCUCAUGGAAUGCACCAUAUCACAGACAAGCCACAUCAAGAGUAAACCUGUCACCACAUAGUCCCAGUAACUCUGUGCCAGGGCGUAGAAUCGAGCACCUGGUCUUCCUGUCAUAUAUGUAUAUGUGUAUAUAACACCUCUGUACUUACCAUUGCCAGGGCGUAGUCAAAGGCUCCUGGACUUUGCUAUACCUGCCAGGGCGUAGUCAAAGGCUCCUAGACUUGCUAUACGUGCCAGGGCGUAGUCAAAGGCUCCUGGACUUCCUGUCUGAGACUAUUGGAUCAUUCAGCAUUCACUCACAUCACCAAAUCACAAUGCAAUGCAACAUAUUCGUGACUACUAAUGCAAUCAACCUAUGGCAUAAACAUGAUGCAUGAGAUAUGCUAAAAGCAGUUUGUGGUUCAAUUAAAAGUCAUAAGUUUAGUUCCACUCACCUCUGGCUAUCUGGACUGACUGACUUUGCAGGUUCUGAACCUCUGGAGCAGUACUCACUGCUGCUCUCUCUGGU
This 692-nucleotide long non-coding RNA is filed under the name Manihot esculenta (cassava). Its description in RNAcentral is "long non-coding RNA (MESC_LNC006682)". Lineage: Eukaryota; Viridiplantae; Streptophyta; Magnoliopsida; Malpighiales; Euphorbiaceae. The record is from RNAcentral.